RNAcentral lists this long non-coding RNA (853 nucleotides) under Volvox carteri. Its description in RNAcentral is "long non-coding RNA (VCAR_LNC000903)". The record is from RNAcentral. Lineage: Eukaryota; Viridiplantae; Chlorophyta; Chlorophyceae; Chlamydomonadales; Volvocaceae.
GCUGGGGCUGGCCUUCCGGAUGCAUGCGACCUAAACCUGCCGGCCCAAGGCAAAUCAGCCUGGGUGCUUCGCCGCGCGACAGCAUACCCCCUGGGGCUGGCCUUCCGGAUGCAUGCGACCUAAACCUGCCGGCCCAAGGCAAAUCAGCCUGGGUGCUUCGUUGCGCGACAGCAUACCCCCUGGGGCUGGCCUUCCGGAUGCAUGCGACUAAACCUGCCGGCCCAAGGCAAAUCAGCCUGGGUGCUUCGCCGCGCGAGAGCAUACCCCCUGGGGCUGGCCUUCCGGAUGCAUGCGACCUAAACCUGCCGGCCCAAGGCAAAUCAGCCUGGGUGCUUCGCUGCGCGACAGCAUACCCCCUGGGGCUGGCCUUCCGGAUGCAUGCGACCUAAACCUGCCGGCCCAAGGCAAAUCAGCCUGGGUGCUUCGCUGCGCGACAGCAUACCCCCUGGGGCUGGCCUUCCGGAUGCAUGCGACUAAACCUGCCGGCCCAAGGCAAAUCAGCCUGGGUGCUUCGCUGCGCGACAGCAUACCCGCUGGGGCUGGCCUUCCGGAUGCAUGCGACCUAAACCUGCCGGCCCAAGGCAAAUCAGCCUGGGUGCUUCGCCGCGCGACAGCAUACCCGCUGGGGCUGGCCUUCCGGAUAGAAUGCAGCUCCACACGGUAGCUCGGGCCUUCACGAGACCUCCUUCGGAAAAACCUACAGGCUAUGGUUACUUUUGGGCAUUUGCUCCUGCCGAAGUGUGAAGCCGACGACUAGGUGCCUCUUUUCCCCGGGCGUGGCCCCCAGUGGGCGUGCCCCUGCCUAGGCGCUAUUGCGGGCUUUUGGCUGCUUUCAGGACAGGGACCCGUUGGG